ACAAGGCCUCACUCCUACCUAACUCAGGGCUGCCUGUAUAAGCCCUGCAGUAGCUUAUCUUCCUGCCCAAACACUGUCCUGUAGAAUUCCCUCAAGGUCAGAAUUUAUUAUUUCUCUUUGUUAUCCACAUGCUGUGACUUCAGUGACAUCCUCUACAGGCAAGUGACCAGCAUCCAUUUGUCUGCAGUUGCACUUGGCUCUACCUCAUCAGCAUUUCCUUCAACUCUGUGACCACCUCUGCUGUUAAGCCUUCGAUUGGUAUUUUGCUGCUUUUCUCUUUUAAAUACUGGAAUUUAAUGAGACCAAAAUGCUGCAAAUAAGGAAGAGAGCAGAAACAGCAAAUGCAGAGGGAUCUUUUAUGACUAAGAACCUAUUUCCAGUAACCUGGGCACUGUUUCUAGUUGGCC
Long non-coding RNA from Carcharodon carcharias (great white shark), 407 nucleotides. RefSeq lists it as uncharacterized. NCBI's taxonomy places the organism in Eukaryota, Metazoa, Chordata, Chondrichthyes, Lamniformes, Lamnidae. The transcript has 3 exons. The record is from RefSeq and is a predicted model, not a curated record.